RNAcentral lists this unclassified non-coding RNA (390 nucleotides) under uncultured delta proteobacterium. RNAcentral's name for it is "contains 16S-23S intergenic spacer region". The record is from RNAcentral. Lineage: Bacteria; Deltaproteobacteria.
UCUGGCUUAUAGCCCAGCGGUCUCGUUAGAGUGCCCAACUUAAUGAUGGUAACUAACGACAAGGGUUGCGCUCGUUGCGGGACUUAACCCAACAUCUCACAACACGAGCUGACGACAGCCAUGCAGCACCUGUCACCGCGUCCCCGAAGGGAACCGCCGCUUUCACGGCGUAGCGCGGGAUGUCAAGCCUGGGUAAGGUUUUUCGCGUAGCAUCGAAUUAAACCACAUGCUCCACCGUUGUGUCCCCGUCAAUUCCUUUGAGUUUUAAUCUUGCGACCGUACUUCCCAGGCGGGAUACUUAAUGCGUUAGCUUCGUUACCAAGACAAUUAGGUAUCCUGACAACUAGUAUCCAUCGUUUAGGGCGUGCCCUUUUAUCUGCUAACACUGGC